AGUGAAUAGAUACCCCGGUAGUCCCAGCUGUAAACGAUGCGCGUUAAGUGUAUCGGUGACCACGAGUCACCGAGGUGCCGAAAGGGAAACCGUGAAACGUGCCGCCUGGGAAGUACGGUCGCAAGGCUGAAACUUAAAGGAAUUGGCGGGGGAGCACCACAACAGGUGGAGCCUGCGGUUUAAAUCGGACUCAACGCCGGGAAGCUCACCGGAUAAGACAGCUGAAUGAUAGCCGGGUUGAAGACUCUGCUUGACUAGCUGAGAGGAGGUGCAUGGCCGUCGUCAGUUCGUACUGUGAAGCAUCCUGUUAAGUCAGGCAACGAGCGAGACCCACGCCAACAGUUGCCAGCAUGUCCUCCGGGAUGGUGGGGACACUGUUGGGACCGCCUCUGCUAAAGAGGAGGAAGGAAUGGGCAACGGUAGGUCAGCAUGCCCCGAAUUAUCCGGGCUACACGCGGGCUACAAUGGUCAGGCAAUGGGUAUCAACACCGAAAGGUGAAGGCAAUCUCCUAAACCUGUCCUUAGUUCGGAUUGUGGGCU
RNAcentral lists this ribosomal RNA (540 nucleotides) under uncultured bacterium. RNAcentral's name for it is "bacterial SSU rRNA". It matches the Rfam family "Archaeal small subunit ribosomal RNA", at positions 724 to 1262 of the family's 1478-position model. The record is from RNAcentral.